Molecule: long non-coding RNA, 598 nt
Filed under: Elaeis guineensis (African oil palm)
Lineage: Eukaryota; Viridiplantae; Streptophyta; Magnoliopsida; Arecales; Arecaceae
Description: long non-coding RNA (EGUI_LNC075469)
Source: RNAcentral
AAGUUUCAUUUCAGUAGGCGAUGGGCCUCUACUGAAAGUCCUGGUUAGGUCCCACCAUUAACAUAAACCUACUCAAUGAUUCUAACUAAUGAAUGAUCAGAUCCGAGUAUAGCUCGACCAACCCAAUCAUUCAUCAGAUAGUACAAUAGAGUCAUCAUAUGAUGAAUGAUAAUUUCAUCAUUUAGAGAAACACUAGAUGGAUGGCGCCUGUAAUGUCAAUCAAAAAUAAUGGACCCAUUACCAUUCACCUUAAUGGGAAGCUAUGAUCUAAUUAUCAUCAUAACCAGCUCAUUUUAUGGACCUAAUAAUUUAGAGAAUUUGGUUAACACAAUCUAACAGAAUUAAAUUCACAGACCAGCUAAUCUCAAUCCUCCCACUGACUACACAAAGUCAGAUCAGGGUUGACUAGAAACAAGCCGAUCCAACUGACAAGUCAUCAAUCCUCCCACUGACUUCACUAAGUCAUGUUGAGGAUAAAGACAAGUCAAACUAAGGGCACCUAAAUCAGUCACCGUUGAUUUUCUAGUAAGCAUAGAUUAAAUCCUAAUCAUUAAGUGAUCUGAUCAAAAUAUGAUUUACCAUGUUGGCUAGAUAAGUG